CUUUUAAGAUUUUUUACCCCGAACUACGAGGUUUUGAUCCUACCUUUUUAAGAUGGUACGUAGGCAAUGGGUUUAUCCAUUCAAACACAAAAUUGUAAAUAACUUGUAUAUUCUUUUCUCAUCUCCCCAAUCAUGUUUGAACAAAUAAUUUUCACAAAUACCAACCUACCUUACAACAUUUGUAAAAAGGGCUCCCUUAGAGUACUAAGGAUGUUUUGGGUGCUUAAAAC
RNAcentral lists this long non-coding RNA (230 nucleotides) under Lathyrus oleraceus (garden pea). RNAcentral describes it as "Pisum sativum (pea) long non-coding RNA (PSAT_LNC013180)". Lineage: Eukaryota; Viridiplantae; Streptophyta; Magnoliopsida; Fabales; Fabaceae. The record is from RNAcentral.